UUAGUGAAAUCGAGUAGGACGGGACACGUGAUAUCCUGUUUGAACAUGGGGGGACCAUCCUCCAAGGCUAAAUACUCCUGACUGACCGAUAGUGAACCAGUACCGUGAGGGAAAGGCGAAAAGAACCCCUGUGAGGGGAGUGAAAUAGAACCUGAAACCGUGUACGUACAAGCAGUAGGAGCCCACUUGUUGGGUGACUGCGUACCUUUUGUAUAAUGGGUCAGCGACUUAAUUUUAGUAGCAAGGUUAACCGUUUAGGGGAGCCGUAGGGAAACCGAGUCUUAACUGGGCGUCAUAGUUGCUAGGAUUAGACCCGAAACCGAGUGAUCUAGCCAUGGGCAGGUUGAAGGUGAGGUAACACUUACUGGAGGACCGAACCGACUAAUGUUGAAAAAUUAGCGGAUGACUUGUGGCUAGGGGUGAAAGGCCAAUCAAACUCGGAGAUAGCUGGUUCUCCCCGAAAGCUAUUUAGGUAGCGCCUCGGACGAAUACUACUGGGGGUAGAGCACUGUUAAGGCUAGGGGGUCAUCCCGACUUACCAACCCUUUGCAAACUCCGAAUACCAGUAAGUAAUAUCCGGGAGACACACGGCGGGUGCUAACGUCCGUCGUGAAGAGGGAAACAACCCAGACCGCCAGCUAAGGUCCCAAAGUUAUAGCUAAGUGGGAAACGAUGUGGGAAGGCUCAGACAGCCAGGAUGUUGGCUUAGAAGCAGCCAUCAUUUAAAGAAAGCGUAAUAGCUCACUGGUCGAGUCGGCCUGCGCGGAAGAUUUAACGGGGCUAAGCUAUACACCGAAGCUGCGGCAAUGUGAAUUUAUUCACAUUGGGUAGGGGAGCGUUCUGUAAGCCGUUGAAGGUGCAUUGUAAAGUGUGCUGGAGGUAUCAGAAGUGCGAAUGCUGACAUGAGUAACGAUAAAGGGAGUGAAAAACUCCCUCGCCGGAAGAUCAAGGGUUCCUGUCCAACGUUAAUCGGGGCAGGGUAAGUCGACCCCUAAGGCGAGGCCGAAAGGCGUAGUCGAUGGGAAACGGGUUAAUAUUCCCGUACUUCUUAUAAUUGCGAUGGAGGGACGGAGAAGGCUAGGUGAGCCUGGCGACGGUUGUCCAGGUCCAAGUAUGUAGGCUGAUG
Molecule: ribosomal RNA, 1126 nt
Filed under: Photobacterium kishitanii
Lineage: Bacteria; Pseudomonadati; Pseudomonadota; Gammaproteobacteria; Vibrionales; Vibrionaceae
Description: bacterial LSU rRNA
Rfam family: Bacterial large subunit ribosomal RNA
Source: RNAcentral